UACGUAGGUGGCAAGCGUUGUCCGGAUUUAUUGGGCGUAAAGCGCGCGCAGGCGGCUAUGUAAGUCUGAUGUUAAAGCCCGAGGCUCAACCUCGGUCCGCAUUGGAAACUGUGUAGCUUGAGUGCAGAAGAGGAAAGCGGUAUUCCACGUGUAGCGGUGAAAUGCGUAGAGAUGUGGAGGAACACCAGUGGCGAAGGCGGCUUUCUGGUCUGUAACUGACGCUGAGGCGCGAAAGCGUGGGGAGCAAACAGG
This 252-nucleotide ribosomal RNA is filed under the name uncultured bacterium. Its description in RNAcentral is "partial 16S ribosomal RNA". It matches the Rfam family "Bacterial small subunit ribosomal RNA", at positions 524 to 776 of the family's 1533-position model. The record is from RNAcentral.